Molecule: ribosomal RNA, 468 nt
Filed under: uncultured bacterium
Lineage: Bacteria
Description: partial 16S ribosomal RNA
Rfam family: Bacterial small subunit ribosomal RNA
Source: RNAcentral
GACGAACGCUGGCGGCGUGCUUAACACAUGCAAGUCGAACGGAAAGGCCCUGCUUUUGUUGGGUGCUCGAUUGGCGAACGGGUGAGUAACACGUGAGUAACCUGCCCUUGACUUUGGGAUAACUUCAGGAAACUGGGGCUAAUACCGGAUAUGAGCUCCUGCUGCAUGGUGGUGGUUGGAAAGUUUCGGCGGUUGGGGAUGGACUCGCGGCUUAUCAGCUUGUUGGUGGGGUAGUGGCUUACCAAGGCUUUGACGGGUAGCCGGCCUGAGAGGGUUACCGGCGACAUGGGGACUGAGAGACGGCCCAGAAUCCUACGGGAGGCAGCAGUGGGGAAUAUUGCACAAUGGGCGGAAGCCUGAUGCAGCAACGCCGCGUGCGGGAUGACGGCCUUCGGGUUGUAAACCGCUUUCGCAUGUGACGAAGAGUGAGUGACGGUAAUGGGUAAAGAAGCACCGGCUAACUACGUG